Molecule: long non-coding RNA, 202 nt
Filed under: Solanum tuberosum (potato)
Lineage: Eukaryota; Viridiplantae; Streptophyta; Magnoliopsida; Solanales; Solanaceae
Description: long non-coding RNA (STUB_LNC007292)
Source: RNAcentral
AAAACUUGUGUGAAUACCUCCGCGUCGCGAACUUGUUUCCCGACGAAAUCUGCGAAAAUAAAACUCAAGUUUGACUUGUUUAAAAGGUCCAACUAAGUGAGGGGUAGUUUGGGUACUUUGGGGGAAUUAUUAUAAACGGUUAUUCUACCUAUUUUAGGGUAUUUUAAGUUGGUUAAAACCCCAAAACCUAAAAUUAGACCCC